Lagopus muta (rock ptarmigan) is the source of this 3670-nucleotide long non-coding RNA. RefSeq lists it as uncharacterized. The transcript has 3 exons. NCBI's taxonomy places the organism in Eukaryota, Metazoa, Chordata, Aves, Galliformes, Phasianidae. The record is from RefSeq and is a predicted model, not a curated record.
CUCGCCCGCAGGCUUAGGUGGAGCUGCUGCAGAUGGCGGGAAGUCUCUGCUAGCCCAGUGGACCAGCUCUGCUUCUUCCAGGGGAUGAGCACAGGGCACCAAGCUCUUAUGCUUAGACGUUAUAGACAGGAAAAGGAAAAAAAAAAAAAAAGCAUCGGUCUUAUAUGCAGAUAAUACUAAAAACAGCCAGAGGCUUUGGGGUUUGUAGGUCUGUUUUGAUCUAGCCUUCAUAUUUUUGAGGUGCUGCCUUGCUGGCAGCUUUUCAUGUUUCUCUGAGUUGUGUCAAGAGGAACCUAAGUAGAACAUAAAUGUAGUCUUCUGUGAGGGAAGUCAGGCUGAACAGUCUGGGGAAAAAAAAGAAGAAGAAAAAAAAGCUGCAUAAAUGGCAGGUUGUGAUAUGCCAGGUGGGCUGCUUUGCCAGGGUCAGUUUUGAGUUAGGGUAAAAUGAUGGUAUGAGAUUGCAGAGGCAUCGUAAGCAGGAGUCGUUCAGUGGAAAUGAAGUGAUGCCUGUUAGCAAGAGGAGAAUUCACUGUCAUCUUUGAUUCCUACAGAAGUAGGGGGGUCAUGAAAAAUUGUACAAUGCAAUGGAAACAUAACAUGCUUUGCAUGCAGAGGUGUUCUGACAGUUGAGACAGAGAACAGAAAUCAUGUCAACUAGCACCAUGCAAUGGAACAUGGGAGGGACUGAUGGCAAACAAAGAAAAUAGACAUACAAAAGAAGGGAAGGAAUGUGUGUGCUGAAGAACUUCUGGGAUAGAGACCCCCUGCGUUGCUGAAAACAUUGACUGAAAGCUGAGCUGACAACUUGUGGUCUCAUCUUCAGGACUGUUACUCUUGCAGGAUUUUAGAAAAUCCUUAGCUGAGGAACUGUAACCACCUGUUGCUUUUCACUUUUGAACUUUGGAAUUUGUUUGGACUCUUCUCCUCUAUGCAGACUGCCAUGCAUUCAGCAUCGCUUCUUUGUUAUCAGAUAGCCCAAAUGAAAUUUUCUUCUUGAGGCUUCCAAUCAUGGCUGAGUUCAAGAUGUUCAAGGCCAGGUUGUAUGGGGCCCUGGGGAACCUGGGCAACCUUAUCUUCUGCCUGAUUUUGUGAUUUCCAGUGGGGGAAAAAAAAAUCACAGCUUUACGUUUUAGAAAUAGACCUCUGUUCUUCAUCCCAGUUUAAUGGCCAUAGGGAAUCUAGAAGAGCUUUCUUCAACCCAUCCCAAAAAUAAAUGAAUAAAUAAGAAAGUAAAUAAAUAAAAUAAUAAUCUAACAGGCAACAGAUGUUUGAACUUGUUUCAGCUGCAAUUAAAACAGUCUUUGUGCUACAGAAUCUGUUUUAAAACUUUGCAUAGUCCCACCAUUUCUGAGUCUGCUCAUGCAUUAGGGCUGGACGUGCACUUCCUCUUCUUCUUAGGCCCCCUUCCUGAACUCUCCUCUGUUUUAUGUAAAAGAACUUUAGUGAAUGUGCCUGGUUAGUUCUUCUUUGCUUCACCAAAGCAUCAGAUUCUACCAGCUGGUCUCUGCUUUUAUUAUGUUUGGGUUUUUUUGUUUUGCAAUUUCCCUGCUAAGUAACUUCUCAGCAAGUCUACCAAAACAAAUCAAAUGUGAAAGUUCUGCAUCAAGUCAGAGCAUUAAUUCCUCUGAGUAGUCAAAAAAAAUGUAUUAUUGUCACUCUAUUAUAACUAUGAGCUGUUUUGAGCUAUAUUUGCACCAGCACAGUUGCUUUUUGAUACAGAACUAUUUUCAAUCUUUUUUUUGAAUGCCUGUAUGUGUUAGUUUUUAAUUUUGAUUACCAUAAACAAAGCAAGGGACAAGAAAUUGACAAAGUGUCCAACAAUACAUUUUUAGAUGACUCGCUGUUAAUUUACUACUAAGUAGAUGUAAGGUAUGUUGUCUUUAAGAUUUGCUAAAUUUUAUUAUUUUUACAGCAAAUUCUGAUUUAGGCCUCUUCUCCAGGGAUCUAAUUUUUUUUUAAUUUUCUUUUAUGUUCAUGGAAUACCAUAUUCCACAAACAGCUGUAGUAGAUGGUCCUGAUUUUCAUUUAUAUUAAGAGGUCGUCUGUGUUUCUUUUUUAUUGUGUAGAGGCAUUCGGAAGGCCUGAAUUCCAGCUAUGUGGUGUAACAUUACUUCAUUCACUAUAAUAUGUUGUCAAACCAAAGUGAAGGAACUAAAAACACACCCUCCAAAGUGGAAUUACAAUCCAAUGUUUGUAGAUACUUUUGUCAGCAAUUAGUAGAGACUAAUUUUUUUCAUGGCAUCUAUCUUGACCAUUAUUACAAAAUAAAAGCAUUUUCUUGUCAUAGAAGUACUGAGGAGGGUAGUUGUUUGCAUAUUAACUCAGUGGUAGGCAAUAUCCCAUUUUUCUAGUGUGCCAGUCCGCGUAUCUCAUAUGACAAGUGAACUGAAAGUCUGGAUGUCUUUCAGAAAGAUGGAGGGCCUGGCUUUUUAUUGUGGGGGAAACAUUCAGGUAAAAUUAACGAAUCCAGUGAUAGAAUGUCUGUUAAACUCAUAAAUCUCUAGAGAAAAUUCAGUUUUAGCCUGAAGCUAUGUUUAUAUGUAUGUCAACAAAAUUAGAAUCAAAGCCCCUUGCUUGACCUAAGGGGUUGGAAAUGCAUCAUGAGAAUAGGACACUUUCCAACACUAGGGAUUCCUUACAAUUUUCCAGUGAAUAUUACCUCCAGGUUAAUAUUGUAGCAAUGAGUCCCACAGUGGAAUGUUGAACUGUCCUUUCUUGAUAAGUGCUACAUUUCUAGAGGAAGGAUAUAGGAGUUUAAGUUAGGAGGACUACAGUAAUUUACUGGCAGAAAUCUGUUAGGUGUUUUGAAUGGUGUGUUAUAUCAAAUGUCUGCUUUAUUUCCAAACAAUUGACUGAACUCAAACGCAUGUUUUGAUUCCAAGGUUGUUGGAAAUAAGACAUUCAUUACUGUUCCUAAAAAAUGAAUAAAUGAACUUCUCAAUGGGCUUUUCUAGUCUGAACUUCAAACGCCAAACCAUUCUGACCUCCAUGAUUGAUAAUGCCUUAAUGACUCCUGUUAUCUACCACUGCCUCUUUUCAAUGUGCUUCUGAGUGCUACCAUGUUAGCAAAACAGUCAACAUCAGCCAAGUUUAUAUCUAGUGAUAUCUGCAGAAAAUUGAUUUCUAUUCAUUAUAAAACAGUUUACCCCUUAGCUAGGGACAAUUUUCAUUGAAUGGAAAGUAAAGAAAUAAUGAUGGCAGGCUAAUAGACUAUUUCUGAUGUAUGCACUUUUAGUUUUCUGAAGCAAGUAUGAGAAUUUAUAAAACUACUUGGUUCUUUGUAAGAUGUUUAAAUACUCAUUUUUUAAAAAUCAGUAUCUUUUCUCCAAUGUUAAAUUGGAGAAAAUCCGCAUUUUGUGGAAGUAGAGAUUGUCUUCCUUUGUUUUGAUACUGAUUGUCCAUCUACCAAGAAGGAUAUCACAAAUAUUUGUUUCCUUGUUGAAGAUGAGACAGUAAGAUGAGUGAGCUUAAUCUACAUUGCAGGAUAAAAUUACAUUCACUGUUAAGAAAUUCUUCCUUAAGAAUUCUGUAGAUUUAGUGCUCUGCUCAUAAGCUGGAAUGUUAUCGAGAAAGUCAACUUCUGUAUAUUCUCACUGCAAUAAAUCUGGACUGUUUAAUGGUCUAAUCUGUGCAAAUGCUACCUUCCAGAUUUGCCUCAACAAUGUACGUU